CUUACCUUAGUUUAAUUGAAGAAUGUUGGUUUUGGGGAUCUUUGGUCUCGUGGAGAGGUUUGG
RNAcentral lists this transfer RNA (63 nucleotides) under Echinococcus equinus. Its description in RNAcentral is "tRNA-Pro". Lineage: Eukaryota; Metazoa; Platyhelminthes; Cestoda; Cyclophyllidea; Taeniidae. The record is from RNAcentral.